This 299-nucleotide ribosomal RNA is filed under the name Aegialia sp. FCO-2006. RNAcentral describes it as "partial 28S ribosomal RNA". It matches the Rfam family "Eukaryotic large subunit ribosomal RNA", at positions 698 to 964 of the family's 3401-position model. Lineage: Eukaryota; Metazoa; Arthropoda; Insecta; Coleoptera; Scarabaeidae. The record is from RNAcentral.
ACUCGACUAAACCUAAAGGCGCAAUGAAAGUGAAGGUCCGCCUAGCGCGGACCGAGGGAGGAUGGGACGGUCUGCGGACCGACCUCGCACUCCCGGGGCGUCUCGCUCUCAUCGAGAGAAGAGGCGCACCCAGAGCGUACACGCUGGGACCCGAAAGAUGGUGAACUAUGCCUGGUCAGGACGAAGUCAGGGGAAACCCUGAUGGAGGUCCGUAGCGAUUCUGACGUGCAAAUCGAUCGUAGGAACUGGGUAUAGGGGCGAAAGACUAAUCGAACCAUCUAGUAGCUGGUUCCUUCCGA